UGAAAAGAUUUCGUACAGGUCAUAAAACCGAACUCCUUUUUUAUAUAGUUAAUCAGAGUGUUUAUUGAAUCAAUUUCGUUAAUUCGGUCGAUAAUUACGUUGUUAGUUUUUAUUAGUCUUAAUAGUUUAAAUCGAAAUAAUUAUCGUACGAUUCACCAUGUCAACUCGCCGUGUUUUGACUGCGAACAACAGCUGAUAGCGGUGUGUCAGAAGAAUGGCCUGCAAGACGGCGAUAGUGGAAAUUUCAGCUCAACUAACGUAUGACAGAUUAUAAAGAUAUUGGUGGCCACAUGGUUUUUACCUGUUGAUUCUUUUCAGCUCUUGAGGUUAACCUGUCACUUCUAUACCCACAUGCAUAUUCUUUAAUGUGUUCUACAGACUAUUUACCAGUAAUUCAAAUUAAAUAGGAUAAUUCAUGAACAGCUACUGUAAUGGAACUUUAAGAAAGCAUCAUGCCUUGUUGUGGUUUGUGUUUGAUAAGAAAUUAUAACAAACAAAAUUAUGGCUGUUUAAAGUAAUUUACAAUUGUUAGCUGUGAAAAUUUGUUUUUCAAUAAAAGUAUGCAAUUA
Long non-coding RNA from Magallana angulata, 569 nucleotides. RefSeq lists it as uncharacterized. The transcript has 2 exons. The record is from RefSeq and is a predicted model, not a curated record. NCBI's taxonomy places the organism in Eukaryota, Metazoa, Mollusca, Bivalvia, Ostreida, Ostreidae.